UCAAGGAAGCAUUUGCUACAAGCUAUUAAAUAUAUUCAAGUUGCAUACACUAAUAUUACUUUGAGAGGCUGACAAACAGGUAAUAAUGUUUAUUUGAUACUAGCACUUUUUUUUCCGUGCAGGUAGGUCAGAGAAAUCCAGUUUCCGAGCCGGCAUGGUGCCACCUCGGCAGCCGAUAGCGAGCCUCAGAAGUUCGUAGCCGAUUUCUCCCUUGGCUCGCGGCGAUUCCGCCGUCCUGAGCUCGUAGUCGAAAACAAAUCGUUGCGCAACGGCGAGCCAAGUUAUUCCCGCGUCGGACAGCGGACUGAGGAGGUUUAAGACGCGCACCGUUGACGAAACGGGGCUCCUGGGAGCAGGUAUAAAGUCGAUUCGGUGUCGAUUCCGUGCCGGGAUGUUCAAAACAAAUCGCACGCGGUCGAAAACAAAUCGUUGCGCAACGACGUGCAGGAAAUUAUACCCGCCCGAGAUUGUUUAUCUCGGAUCGUGAGGGAUCACCUGACUUUUCGGCGCAUAAAGAGGCGAUGUCGUUGGUGCGAACAGAGUUAAUUAUUAGCGGCAGGGAGAUGAUUUAGACGGAUAAUGGAAUUUCGCGGCAAGUAUCGCGACGACGACGGGCGCUCGAUGAUCCACCAACGGUAUUGGUACCACUAUUAUUUUGUAUUUGUUUUUAUUUUGUAUCCUUGGCAUCACUAUUAUCGGACUAAAAGUGUUGACUUGUUCCGCGCACCGUUAGAAAUAACCAUUUGCACGAGAACAUUAGAAGUACAUUAGGAGACUGCGGUUUAUGCAAAGCACACGCGAGGUCGCGGCUGAACUGCCAUCAAGACUUUGUUUUACGCAUGAAAGUGAACCGCGUCUCGCGCGCAACGCUUGCUCAAGUAUCCCGCUGUUAAAGUACGCGCACUUUGUUAUUAUUUACGCGCGAGUUAAGGCAUGACGGAAUACACGAGUGUCGCGCAAUGAGCGAGAGCCAUUCGUUCGGUAUUUUAUCAUAGCAUAGAAGGUGAUUUCCUUCCUCCAUGGGUCAAACCGUCCCUCAGUUUUGGCGAUGAUAGUCGCAGGCGAGCCGCGCGAUCGACCAACAUCGCGGAAAGGCGGAAUGGGAUUCCAAAUUGGUAUCACAGUGGGAUAACCUAUUCUGGGACAACUUUCGGUGUUCUAAUCGAGAUCUCUACUACAUAUGAGAAAGUCUGUCGACUAAUCGCAAGGGACACACCUGUGUGGUCUCCGAAUGAUAUCUUAUUUAAAGCGUCGUACUUCGCGAAAUGUUUUACGGCGACGAAUACGGUGAUUUCUUAUUGCAAAUAUAAACGAAGAGAAGAGAACGGGAAGACAUUCGCUUCCGGAGCUCAUUUCGGACGAUCCGUAACUCGCAACGGAGUCCCGCGUUCUACCCGCAACUUCGUCCGCGGCGUGUAACAAUUUGCAGAUUCUUUAAACGAACAGAACUCGAACUCGAGUCCCGAAUCGCAAGAUCGUCCGCGGAGGGGACUUGGAAAUCCGUCUUCGUGCACGACGCAGACGACGCAGCCGACCCGGUGCAACGGUAGCGAAGUACACGAUCUCGACUGGUUUAUACGCGGUUUUUUCCCCCUCUCGUACGAUUGGCGAAGAUGCAUUAGCCUCGAUUUCAAGGAGAGCGUUGCACCACCCGAGGUUAGAGGCGCGUGAAAAUGCUCGAUCGGACGGUGAACGAUCGACGACCUCAUUGGUCGACGACACUUUGCACCUGCAAAUGCGACAGUCACGCUCGCAAUGCCGCGGACACGCGGUGGAAUGUUCGCCCCGGCACUGACUAAGCGCUAAUGACAUUCGAUUUAGUCGCGCGCGCGUCCGCGUGUGUGCGGCCAUCGCGCGUAUUAAUUAUACGCCCUCCCGUGUGUACGUGUUUCUACUCCCCGUUGUACCCCUCCGCCUCUGCGGAAUAUCUAAAUUAUCAUCUGAUACGCCGGUUAAAGUAGACGGACGGUAAGUCGACAGCGAGAGACACCGUUCUAAUCGUUAAUGUUCGUUUGCGUUACGUGUAAAAUGACAGCUCCCCCGUUCCAAGCGUGGAUUAUUGUUUACGCGCGCUCGUGCUGAUUAUACGCCUCGUGCGGUCGAGUGCGAUAGGGUCAACGCGAUAUCGCAAGGCAACUUUCAAUAAUGUCGGAAACGGCAGAGUGCGGGCAGAUUCGUAGUAAUGAAAAAUAAUCGCGCCGACGUAUGGCCCGUUGCGCAAUUGUCGAAAGCGGCGAACCGUGCCAGGUAACAGCGUUGUAAAAUGAUUUCAUGGAACCGUGAGAGAGAGAGAGAGAGAGAGAGAGACUACCGACGUACGCAUAGACGAACCGUUCGCAGCUUACCGUCCCGCUUCUAAGCCGCGUUCGUCGCGCGUUCGUGAAUUGCGCCACGCGAGAUAAAAUUCACGGGUUUUAUUUACGGAUCACUUCAGCCGCCUUUCGAGUGAAUUCAAGAAACACGCGCAUAAUAAGUCGCCCAGUUUAUUUCCCGUUUUCACGCCACGCGGAUCCCGGUCGCCGACGCGCAACCGCGAUACGCGUUGUAAAAUGCAACCCAAUAAAAGCAAGCGCGUUAUCGUCGCGUUAACGCAACCGUGCGCGCUGCACGGUAUAAAAGUCGGCAUAACCACGCCGGAAUAUGGCUACAAUUUGAAUACUGCGCGGCUUCAUUUGCAUGUCAAAAGAGAACAGUCGAUUAUACUGUCCGCGCGGACGGCGGUAGCAAUGUUCGCGCGAAGGUCGUAACGCGGAAUCACGCACAUGUGAUUUUCUCGUAUUCAGCCCGAUCGGACGCGAGAACAGGCCGCCCCCCCCCCCCUGCACUUCUGCCGAAGGCAGGCUCGUGUCAAAAUCGGUGAAAAUUCGGCCGUAUCGUACGACGGACGUGCCGCGCGAUUUUCGACGCGGGAGGUUCCACGACCGCUGAAAUUGGAUAAUGAGUCGUCGCGGUGAAAAUUGCCGGGAAUUGUUCGCCGAGUGGAAUUACGUAACACCACGAUUGCACGCAGUUGCCACGGUUUUAAUGGAACUGAGAAAACGAAUAAAGGGUAACGAGAAUCUUAAUUGACACGAUUGAUUAAUUCAGACUUCGACGAGCUCGCUUCCUCACAUUCGCUCGAUUUCAACGAGAGUUCGUGUAGUUACUUGGUAUCAAUUGAAUGCGGCGCACCGGUACAUACCUACGCACCCGUCGAAUCUUACAAGUGUGGCGAUGGACGAUGCGUAAUCCCGAGAGGCAAAAACCCCGGAAUUUGAGAAGAGGGACAACACAUCCCGAAAAAGUACAAUCCUGAAAAACUGUCUCCAAGCCCCGCAUUCAUAGCUGUAAAUUAUUUCUCAUUUUCAGAAAAAAAUUUGGAUAGCGUCAAGCUCGAACGCGCAAUGUGCAGCGUGCCGCCUUAUAUGCUGCGCUACACUCGCUAUCUGGUAAACAUGCUUUCGUAAGCUUACGGUGCACGAAAAACUUUGCAUGUAAAUUUGUCGUGAAUACUUGAGAGGUGUGUUGUUUCAUUUGUCUAUCAAAUAGUGAGAGCUUGGUACUACAAUAUAUCCUAAUCUGAGCAAAAUCUGUGAUGACAUCAUACUCUCCCUUUUACACGGAUGCCGCGGAGAAAGAAUGUCUUAUCUUCUGACGCGACCGUCGACCCAUUUUCUAACAUCUGCUUCAUUUCGAAAAUAUGACUAUUCUCGAAUAGCUAGAAUUUGUCGCUUAAAUCGUUAAGCGCCGUCAAACCGAUCACGAUCGCGAGUGCAGUGCAGCGAAGUGAAAUGAAGAGUGAGUGAGGAGCGACCAACGGAGGACGACAGCUGGAUGCUGAGGAGGCUGGACGUGUGCGAAGCGACGCGGUCGAGAUACAACGUUGGGUCUCUCAUCGGGGGACCUGAGUAAGGACUAGACGUCGUUAGGCAUCAACGCGAAUUGAUAUAACAUUUGACCGAGUAAAGAUGCAAGUAUCAGUAGUUAGAGCAAUCUACGUCAGAGAGAGAUAGCAACGCUAUCAUUAUGGGAUUAAGCACAGAAACUGCAGU
Molecule: long non-coding RNA, 4031 nt
Organism: Dinoponera quadriceps
Lineage: Eukaryota; Metazoa; Arthropoda; Insecta; Hymenoptera; Formicidae
Exons: 4
Source: RefSeq, a predicted model, not a curated record